GUAUAUCUACGGUAAUACAUAUUCUAAAAUUUGAACGAUGAAGAGAAGACUUGCAUGAUACCUGCACAAGGAUGACAUGGAAAUACAUAGAUGUAUAUAUAUAUAU
Molecule: small nuclear RNA, 106 nt
Organism: Octopus sinensis (East Asian common octopus)
Lineage: Eukaryota; Metazoa; Mollusca; Cephalopoda; Octopoda; Octopodidae
Source: RefSeq, a predicted model, not a curated record